This 253-nucleotide ribosomal RNA is filed under the name uncultured bacterium. RNAcentral describes it as "partial 16S ribosomal RNA". It matches the Rfam family "Bacterial small subunit ribosomal RNA", at positions 524 to 776 of the family's 1533-position model. The record is from RNAcentral.
UACGUAGGGGGCAAGCGUUGUCCGGAUUUAUUGGGCGUAAAGAGCGUGUAGGCGGCCUGAAAGGUCAGCUGUGAAAACUCGAGGCUCAACCUCGAGACGUCGGUUGAAACCAUCUGGCUAGAGUCCGGAAGAGGAGUGUGGAAUUCCCGGUGUAGCGGUGAAAUGCGCAGAUAUCAGGAGGAACACCGGUGGCGAAGGCGGGUCUCUGGGCAAUAACUGACGCUGAGGAGCGAAAGCGUGGGGAGCGAACAGG